UGAGGAAUAUUGGGCAAUGCCCGCAAGGGUGACCCAGCAACGCCGCGUGGAGGAUGAAUGUCGUAAGAUUGUAAACUCCUGUUAGAGGGGAAGAAUAGUACCGGUUGGACCGGUAUAUGACUGUACCCUCAGAGAAAGCCCCGGCUAACUACGUGCCAGCAGCCGCGGUAAUACGUAGGGGGCAAGCGUUGUCCGGAUUUACUGGGUGUAAAGGGCGCGCAGGCGGGAUAAAAAGUCAGUGGUGAAAUCCUACAGCUUAACUGUAGAACUGCCUUUGAUACUUUUAUUCUUGAGUUCGGGAGAGAGAGACUGAAUUCCAGGUGUAGUGGUGAAAUACGUAGAUAUCUGGAAGAACACCAGUUGCGAAGGCGGUCUCUUGGUCCGACACUGACGCUGAGGCGCGAAAGCGUGGGGAGCAAACA
This 422-nucleotide ribosomal RNA is filed under the name uncultured bacterium. RNAcentral's name for it is "bacterial SSU rRNA". It matches the Rfam family "Bacterial small subunit ribosomal RNA", at positions 355 to 774 of the family's 1533-position model. The record is from RNAcentral.